Fukomys damarensis (Damara mole-rat) is the source of this 107-nucleotide small nuclear RNA. Lineage: Eukaryota; Metazoa; Chordata; Mammalia; Rodentia; Bathyergidae. The record is from Ensembl.
GUUCUUGCUUCGGCAGCACAUAUACUAAAAUAGGAAUGAUACAGAGAAGAUUAGCAUGGCCCCUGUGCAAGGAUGACAUGCAGAUUUGUGAUGCAUUCCUUAUUUUU